CGCUGACUUUGGUGGACACGGGCAUU
This 26-nucleotide non-coding RNA is filed under the name Cricetulus griseus (Chinese hamster). Lineage: Eukaryota; Metazoa; Chordata; Mammalia; Rodentia; Cricetidae. The record is from RNAcentral.